This is a small nucleolar RNA of Setaria italica (foxtail millet), 136 nucleotides long. The record is from Rfam. Lineage: Eukaryota; Viridiplantae; Streptophyta; Magnoliopsida; Poales; Poaceae.
ACCAAUUCUGGAGGAUGAUUUCGUUCCUCUCGGUAUAAUGGCUUGAACGCAACACGCAAUUCUCCUGAUGUGUGGUUAUAUCCUGAUUGGUGGUGUUAUUGGUGCCAAUUCAAUCCUGGAAAGGCUAGGUACAUUC